Nitrospirae bacterium CG2_30_41_42 is the source of this 37-nucleotide non-coding RNA. The record is from Rfam. Lineage: Bacteria; Pseudomonadati; Nitrospirota.
GUCUCAGAGAUACUUCCAUUAAAACAAGGAUUGAAAC